UUGAUCAUGGUCUGGUACGUUGGCAAGGCUUCCUCCGUAAUCAUAUCCCCCACCAACACCACGAAAUACUCGUCCGGCAGAUCCGCAGUGCGUUGUCUCAGGGCCUUCACUUGCUCGUUGAACUCUCCCAACGGCAAUGCAGGGUCAGGUAAGAAUGUCUGGGGUUGCCAACACUCUUUCACAGGUUUGAGCAGCGGUAACACAUUUUGGGUAGCCCAGUUUUCUAGUGACUUGAAAAUCUCUUGCUUUUCAGGUGGCAUGGAGUGGGUUUUUUGAGGUUUUGGAGGAGCUGCCGCCACGGCAGAGAUAGGGGAGAAUCUGACGGUGGAGGUUGGUGGAGGGAUGCGGCGGCAGUGGACAUCUGGGAUCCUCCAAGGCAGAGUUUUGGUAGAGACUAGGCUGUGUGUGAAUUGCAUGGUGGCAGUGUAGUUGAGUCAGUGUCUCAAGAAUUUU
This 453-nucleotide long non-coding RNA is filed under the name Gossypium barbadense (sea-island cotton). RNAcentral describes it as "long non-coding RNA (GBAR_LNC014888)". The record is from RNAcentral. Lineage: Eukaryota; Viridiplantae; Streptophyta; Magnoliopsida; Malvales; Malvaceae.